Molecule: ribosomal RNA, 253 nt
Filed under: uncultured bacterium
Lineage: Bacteria
Description: partial 16S ribosomal RNA
Rfam family: Bacterial small subunit ribosomal RNA
Source: RNAcentral
UACGUAGGGUGCAAGCGUUGUCCGGAAUUAUUGGGCGUAAAGAGCUCGUAGGCGGUCUGUCGCGUCUGCCGUGAAAACUCAGGGCUUAACCCUGAGCUUGCAGUGGGUACGGGCAGACUAGAGUGCGGUAGGGGAGACUGGAAUUCCUGGUGUAGCGGUGAAAUGCGCAGAUAUCAGGAGGAACACCGGUGGCGAAGGCGGGUCUCUGGGCCGUAACUGACGCUGAGGAGCGAAAGCGUGGGGAGCGAACCGG